RNAcentral lists this transfer RNA (59 nucleotides) under Dipodomys ordii (Ord's kangaroo rat). It matches the Rfam family "tRNA", at positions 7 to 64 of the family's 71-position model. From Rfam's summary of the family: Transfer RNA (tRNA) molecules are approximately 80 nucleotides in length. Their secondary structure includes four short double-helical elements and three loops (D, anti-codon, and T loops). Further hydrogen bonds mediate the characteristic L-shaped molecular structure. tRNAs have two regions of fundamental functional importance: the anti-codon, which is responsible for specific mRNA codon recognition, and the 3' end, to which the tRNAs corresponding amino acid is attached (by aminoacyl-tRNA synthetases). tRNAs cope with the degeneracy of the genetic code in two manners: having more than one tRNA (with a specific anti-codon) for a particular amino acid; and 'wobble' base-pairing, i.e. permitting non-standard base-pairing at the 3rd anti-codon position. The record is from Rfam by way of RNAcentral. Lineage: Eukaryota; Metazoa; Chordata; Mammalia; Rodentia; Heteromyidae.
AUGGCUCAGUGGUAGAACACCUGCCUAACAAGCAUGAGGCUCUGAGUUCAAACCCCAGU